Long non-coding RNA from Dreissena polymorpha, 446 nucleotides. RefSeq lists it as uncharacterized. The transcript has 2 exons. The record is from RefSeq and is a predicted model, not a curated record. Lineage: Eukaryota; Metazoa; Mollusca; Bivalvia; Myida; Dreissenidae.
CAGACUUAGGUUCGAAAAUCGUCGCAGAAAAAUUUUCACAAAUUUUUGGUGUAUUUUGUAAUAACUAUUCCCCGACAAAUUCUUCCAUAAACGAAAAUGAAGGCGUACAAUGAUAGAAAACAAGCCUAAUUCUGCAUCUGUGUUUAUAGGUGAAGAAAAUCCGCGCUCAUAUCAUUCUUGUUAAAUUACAACUUUCUAGCCUGAUCAAAGUUAGUGGGAAUGGAUAUAUCGAACACAGGACAAUUUUACAGAGUACAAGUUCAAGUCAAGUUUCGACAAGUCAGAAGCUAAGUGCCGAUUUCCCACUAGUCUACCGAAUCCAGAAGUCCACAGAAGAACGGCAAUGUUCCCUCAAGAUAACAGUCAACCCACGGGUCGCAAUCUUUAGGCAGAGAUAAGCGCGAGUUGUCAAUCUAAAGGUAUAACAAUAAAAUGAUUCAACAGAA